Neogale vison (American mink) is the source of this 296-nucleotide long non-coding RNA. RefSeq lists it as uncharacterized. Lineage: Eukaryota; Metazoa; Chordata; Mammalia; Carnivora; Mustelidae. The record is from RefSeq and is a predicted model, not a curated record. The transcript has 3 exons.
CCCAGCGCUGCACUCUCCCAGACAGGAAGCUGAAGAGUUCGCCAGUAUGGCUGUGACAACCGUCCCUGCUAGAGCGGUGGUGGGCGGCUCGGGGCAUGAUAACAGAGCCGCAAGGCAGGAGGCGGGCACGUGCGAUCAGUUUUGACAACGCCUGGAAAAAAGCACAUAAAACAGUCUCCCUGUCAUGGGAGCAUUCAGUGCCUCUGAACCAGUUCAGUCUUGUCUGCAUGACUCCUCCUGGGGCUGAGAAAAAUCGACCAGGCAUCUGCCCUUUUAGAAGAGAGCAGAAAAUGAAG